RNAcentral lists this ribosomal RNA (361 nucleotides) under uncultured bacterium. Its description in RNAcentral is "bacterial SSU rRNA". It matches the Rfam family "Bacterial small subunit ribosomal RNA", at positions 772 to 1130 of the family's 1533-position model. The record is from RNAcentral.
ACUAAAUAGAUACCCGGGUAGUCCAUGCCGUAAACUAUGGAUACUAGCUGUUGGGGGUAUCGACCCCUCCAGUAGCGAAAGCUAAACGCGUUAAGUAUCCCGCCUGUGGAGUACGAUCGCAAGAUUAAAACAUAAAGGAAUUGACAGGGACCCGCACAAGCGGUGGAGCGUGUUCUUUAAAUUCGAUGCUAAACGAAGAACCUUACCAGGGCUUGACAUCCCUUGAAUUACUCCGAAAGGAGUGAGUGCUUUAUUGAGCAAGGUGACAGGUGGUGCAUGGCCGUCGUCAGCUCGUGUCGUGAGAUGUUUGGUUAAGUCCCAUCAACGAGCGCAACCCUUAUACUUAGUUGUAUUUUUCAGG